This is a non-coding RNA of Vicia faba (fava bean), 381 nucleotides long. NCBI's taxonomy places the organism in Eukaryota, Viridiplantae, Streptophyta, Magnoliopsida, Fabales, Fabaceae. The record is from the annotation of a GenBank genome assembly.
AUGCAUCACAAAGAAUCCAAAUCCAUCUCAUUUUCCCCCCCAAAAUUUCAUUAUGUUCUCUAUAUAGAUUUAGACUUGGUUAACAAAAAAAGGGGGAAGAGAUAUACCAACAACAUAGAAAAUCUCAAGAGAAAAAACAAAAACAACAAACAGAGAAAACCACUUAUCUUUCUCUCCAUUCCCAAAACAGCAUCUCAAAUCUCUCUUUCUCUCGCUAGUCACACUCUUUCAAAUAUCUUCUUCUCAUGUGUAGUAGCAUCAUUUUCAAUAGCAACAAGAGAAAGUGAACCCAAAAGGCUUUUGUUCUUUGAUUCUUUCUCUUUACAUACACUUGCACCCUGGUGUUUCCUUCUUUCCUACCUUCUGUGUUCUCUGCUCUGA